AUGAGAUUUGGUUUAUGGUUCAUGGGAUUUGGUCCAUGAGGUUUGGUUUUGAUUCAUGGGAUUUGGUCCAUGAGGUUUGGUUUUGGUUCAUGGAAUUUGGUCCAUGAGAUUUGGUUUUGGUUCAUGGGAUUUGAUCCAUGAGGUUUGAUUUUGGCUCAUGGAAUUUGGUCCAUGAGGUUUGGUUUUGGCUCAUGGGAUUUGGUCCAUGAGGUUUGAUUUUGGUUCAUGGGAUAUGGUCCAUGAGGUUUAGUUGUGGCUCAUGGGAUUUGGUCCAUGAGGUUUGGUUGUGGUUCAUGGGAUUUGGUUCAUGAGGUUUGGUUUUGGCUCAUGGGAUUUGGUCCAUGAGGUUUGGUUUUGGCUCAUGGAAUUUGGUCCAUGAGGUUUGGUUUGGGUUCAUGGGAUUUGGUCCAAGAGAUUUGGUUGGUUCAUGGAAUUUGGUCCAUGAGGUUUAGUUGUGGCUCAUGGGAUUUGGUCCAUGAGGUUUGGUUUUGGUUCAUGGAAUUUGGUCCAUGAGAUUUGGUUUGUUCAUGGGAUUUGGUCCAUGAGAUUUGUUUGGUUCAUGGGAUUUGGUCCAUGAGAUUUGGUUUAUGGUUCAGGGGAUUUGGUCCAUGAGGUUUGGUUUAUGGUUCAUGGGAUUUGGUCCAUGAGGUUUGGUUUUGGUUCAUGGCAUUUGGUCAAUGAGGUUUGGUUUUGGUUCAUGGGAUUUGGUCCAUGAGGUUUGGUUUUGUCUCAUAGGAUUUGAUCCAUGAGGUUUGGUUUUGGUUCAUGGCAUUUGGUCCAUGAGGUUUGGUUUGGUAUGGUUUGGAUUUGAUUCUUGUUUGUGUCCUUCAUGUGGACUUAGUUUGGGUUAGGUUUGGGUUUGAUUUGUGGACUUGGUUUGGUUUGGAUUUGGGUUUAUUUGGGUUCAAGUUUGGAUUUAUUUGUAGGUUUAUUUGUGGACUUGGUUUGGUUUGGAUUUGGGUUUAUUUGCGUUCAAGUUUGGGUUUAUUUGGACUUGGUUUGGGUUAGGUUCGUAUGUGAACUUGGUUUAGGUUAGGUUUGGGUGUGGACUUGAUUUGGUUUUGGGUUCGGGUUUAUUUAUGGAAUGGGUUUGGGUUCUUUAUGUGGACUUGGUUUGGGUUAGGUUUGGGUUUGAUUUGAUUUGGAUUUAUUUGUGGACUGUAUUUGGUUUGGGUUUGGGUCCGAUUUGGGUUUUGGUUUGGAUGUUUAUUUAGACUUGAUUUGGUUAUGUUUGGCUUUGUAUGUGGGCUUGGUUUGGUUUGGGUCUAUUUGGGUUUUGGGUUGGCGGUUUAUUUGGACUUGGUUUGGUUAGGUUUGGCUUUGUAUGUGGACUUGGUUUGGUUUGGGUUUAUUUGGGUUUUGGGUUCGAGUUUGGGUUUGAACUUGACUUGAUUUAGGUUUGUAGGUGAACUUGAUUUGCAAUUUGAUUUGUGGUCCGUAUGUGAACUUGAUUUGCAAUUUGGGUUCGCAUAUGAACUUAAUUUGCAGUUUGAGUUCGUGUGUAAACUUGAUUUGCAAUUUGAUUUGGGGUCCGAAGAAAUCCCUUUUUGAUUUUGCAAUUAGAUUUGGGGUCCGAAGAAAUCCCCUAUUGAUUUUGCAAUUGAAUUUGGGGUCCGAAGAAAUCCCCGUUUGAUUUGAAUUUGAAUUUGGGGUCCGAAGAAAUUCCCGUUUUGAUUUUCCAAUUUGAUUUGGAUUCGAAGUCCGAAGAAAUCCCCGUUUGAUUUGAAUUUGAAUUUGGGGUCCGAAAAAAUCCCCUAUUGAUUCUGAUUUGGGGUCCAAAGAAAUUCCCGUUUUGAUUCCAAUUUGGAUUUGAUUUUCAAAUUUGAUUUGGGGUCCAAAGAAAUCUCCGUUUGAUUCUCCAAUUGGAUUUGAUUUGGGGUCCGAAGAAAUUUCCUUUUGAUUUGCCAUUUGGGGUCCGAGGAAAUCCCCGUUUAGUUCUAAUUUGGGAUCCGAAGAAACAGGGAUCUUUGAUUCCCCUCCCCUCUUCUGGCGAUACUUCCUCGGCGAUGUUGUAGAUGUCGUCGGCGAAGUUGUUGACGGUGGCACGGAUCUGUUCGGCCAGCAAAUUUGAUUUGACAUUUUCAAAGAAAUAUUGAAGGGUCCUAAGAAAUGGGGAAUCAAAGAUUCCCCUCCCUUCUUCUUUCGAAAAGAUCAAAACGGCGAUUGUAGAUGUCGUCGACGGAGUUGUUAACAGUGGCAUGGAUUUGUUCGGCCGGCAAAUUUAGGUCGAUAUUUAUCAAAGAAAUGUUGAAGGGUCCGAAGAAACAGGGAAUCAAAGAUCCUCCUCCCCUCUUCUUUCGAAAGUAUCAAACCAAACAUGCUGGAGAUGGUCGCGGCAAUGUAGAUCAUCCAUUCCAUCAUCAACGACUUCGAAUGGGGUAUUGAGAGGUCCGAAGAAACGGGGAAUCGAAGAUUCCCCUCCACUCUCCCACCGAAGCCAUCUAAAUGAUAUGGAUGGCUACGAUCGCAGGACAAAAGAAAAAAAAGAAAAGAGGGGGAAGAAAAGAGAUCUUUUUUUGUUUUAUUAUUAUUUUUACUUUCUUUCUCUGUUUUUUUUUUUUUACCUGUUGAUCAAAUGAGGGAUUAGAUAAAGCAGCUCAACGAUUUCUCCUUCUUUCUGCGGUUUGGCGAUAUCUUCUCCUUUCAGCGGCUUGGGGAUGUCUCCUCCUUUCAGUAGCUCGGCAAUAUCUCCUCCUUUGAAUAUUUUGAACUUGGAAGUGUAUAACAAUCUAUCUAUCGUAUCGUCUCUGUCCAAAAGAAAAAAAUUCUCCCCGAGUUUGAUUUCGGUUCUCAUAUUUAUAAUGGGAGGGGUGGUGAGAGAUAUUUUGAGGGAUUCGAAAUUCGAAUUUGAAUUUUGAAUAGGUUGUUGGGGUUGGUUGAAAGAUAUUUGGGAUUUUGUUGAGAAUUCGAAAUUCGAAAUCGAAUUUUGAAUGGGUUGUUGGAUGGUUGGAGGGUAUUUUGGAAAUUGGUUGGAAUUCAAAAUUCGAAAUUUGAAUUUUGAAUGGGUUGUUGGAGGAUAUUUUGGGAAUUGGUUAGGAAUUCAAAAUUCGAAAUUUGAAUUUUGAAUGGGUUGUUGGAGGAUAUUUUGGAAAUUGGUUUGGGAAUUCGAAAUUCGAAAUCGAAUUUUGAAUGGGUUGUUGGAGGAUAUUUUGGUAGUUGGUUGGGAAUUCGAAAUUCAAAAUCGAAUUUUGAAUGGAUUGUUGGAGGAUAUUUUGGAAAUUGGUUGGGAAUUCGAAAUUCGAAAUCGAAUUUUGAAUGGGUUGUUGGAGGAUAUUUUGGGAAUUGGUUAGGGAUUCGAAAUUCGAAAUCGAAUUUUCAAUGGGUUGUUGGAUAAUUGAAGGAUAUUUUGGUGAGUCGGUUAGGGAUUCGAAAUUCGAAAUCGAAUUUUGAAUGGGUUGUUGGAUGGUUGAAGGAUAUUUUGGUGAGUUGGUUAGAGAUUCGAAAUUCGAAAUCAAAUUUUGAAUGGGUUGUUAGAUUGUUGAAGGAUAUUUUUGGGAGUCGGUUAGGGAUUCAAAAUUCGAAUGGAUGUUGGUUGGGGAUUCGAAAUUCAAAAUUGAAUUUUGAAUGGGUUGUGGGAUGGAUAGGUAUUCAAAAUUCGAAUGAUUGUUGGUUGAGAGAUAUUUUGGGCGUUGGUUCGAAGUUCGAAAUCGAAUUUCGAAUAGGGUUAUUAGGAUAACAGAUAUUUUCUGGGGGUUUAAAAAUUUAAAAUCGAAUUUGAAUAUGAUAUUCGAAAUUGAAUUUUCAAACGUGGGUGAAAAUGUGGGCCGUGAUUCCAUGAAUUGGGCUGAAAUUGGGCCCACUUUGAUGAAACUUGUUGGGCACAAUUAUUUAUUGGGCUGAGAUGAGGCCCGAAUUAUUGUAAUAGGCCUAAAAUUUUAAAGGGCUUUCUUGAGGCCCAUUAAUUUACAUUUAUGAAUGGGCCUAUUGUGGACUUUAAAUUGUAAUUAUUGGUCCCAAAAUUUUCUGGUUAAUAUGAGACCUAUCAAAAUUGUUUGAGUCUGAAUCUAAUCGGUUUCAAUUAUGAUUAGAAAUUUUUUUUUUUUCACUUCAAACAAUACGUUCACCCAAAAAAGGCCAGAUCUCUCUAGAUUGACAUUAGAAACCUCAUGAUGUUUUAAUAGGCAGAUCAAGAUGUAUGGAAUAAACUAGAACACUGACUAACUUGUACAUCCAUAUCGCGAUAAGAACUAGAAGCAUCAGAAACUUGUUUCAUGAACAUAAUGAGGAUAAAAAAAAAUUGGUUCUGAUAACAAGAAAGUAUUUUAAUAAUUUAAAGUAAUUUGAUUUAAGUUUUACCAAGCACACUAUUCUAACUAAGUAAUUUAGUAGCUCAAAAAUAGCCUACAACUACUGUAAUAUACCGAAACUUCGGUAAGCUAUAUCGGGCUUUAGCCAAAUUGGCCAAAGCGCUCGAAAGAAAUAGUUGGACAAGUUCCAUUUAACAUUUCAAUAAGGUUGGAAGGGUUAAAAGUGACUUCUUAAAGAGUUAGAAGGGUUUUAGCAUUGCUCGGCACAAAAGAGAAGUCGAACAAGUGCUAAACUGCAGUCUGGGCAUUUUGUACCGGUACAACAUCAGGGCAAUAUCGGUACACUUUUGUAAAACUCGAACAGCAGCUCUCGAGUUUGCCUCUGCGCGAUCGUGUUAUCGGUGACACCAUAACCUGUACCGGUACACUUUGGGUCUGACAGCAAAAAUAGUUCUGCUGCAAAUGUGAGUUUUUGGGGGGCCUAAAUGCAAUUAUAGCACCUCAUAAAACACCCCAACACCCCUCCCACCUGUUCAUAACAGCAAGCACCUUCUCCCCUCUCAUUCUCUCUUUCUCUCUCUAGAAACCCCCUCUCAAGGUGGAAAAGAGGAGAUCAAGAGGAGGAUUUGGAGAUUUUGGAGCUUUGGGAGGAUCUAGAGCUCACCUAUAAGGAGGAGCUUGUUGAGUUCAUGGGUCAAGGUAAGGUUUCUUGUAAGAUUGAUAUUAGGGUUUGGUUUUACACCCAAAAUCUUUUGGAUUUGAUCUUCUUACAAGAGUAGAAACCUUGUUGAAACCAUAGAACACAUGAAAACCAUGUUUUCUUCUCAUGCUCUCAUGGUGGAUUGCUAGGGUUUGUUCUAAAUGCCUUAGGAAUGGUUUGAGUGGCCUAGUAAUGGUUCUAGAUGAGUUUCUAGAUGAUUCUAAGCUUGUUUUAGCUUAGCAAAGAGAUCAAUCUAGCAUAUGUUGCUAAAUGACAUUGUUAAGACACCAAAAUUGGGGCUUUUGUCAUAAGUGGGUUUAAAUGUAAAUUGAACCUAUGUAAACCUAAUUGAAGGUAUUUUCAAGUCGGUUCGGCGAUUCGUCGAGCCUACGCGAAGAUAUUGAAGAAACGGUCGUUUUGGCUUCGUUUCUGCCUGGAGGGCCAAUGCGACGUCCAAAAAUCACGAGAAUGGAUCCGGAGGAUCGUAACAUCAAGUUAUAGACCUUUAAUUUCCGGAUUGUGGAUUGGUGGUCGUUUGGUGGUCGAGUGCGAGUUCGGGCCGAACCGGGCAACGGGUGCCGCGGGAGACCGAUUGCAAGUGACUACAAGCAAUCGGAAAGCGAUUUGAGGUGGGUUGUGCUCACCGAAGCGACUAGGUCGCCUUCAUGUCGAAGGAAAAUAUGGUUUCAUAUUGAUGCAUAUAGUGGUAGCUAGUAGUAAAAUAUAUGAAUGCAUGAGGUGAAUGCUAAGUAGGCUACCAAAGAAUGCAUGAUGACAUAAUGUGAAUAAUGCUAGUUUGAGAGCAUAAGAGAAAUGGCUUAUGCAUGUAAACAUUAUAAGAACAUGCUAGUCGGAAUGCAUAAUGGCAUGCUGCAGAGAAUGCUAAUUGAGAUGUGCAUGUUGUAAUAUAUGCUAGGUGAAAUGCAUAUUGAUAUAAGAUAAAAAUGCUAGAUAAUAUGCAAGUUGGCAAGUUGUAUAUUAUACUUGAUUCACAUGAGUUGAACAUAGGUCGAUAACUCUAGGUGUAUUAGAGAAUGCGACAUUGGAAAAUAAGAAUGUAUAAACUAUGAUACUCGAUGUGGACAAGUAGAGUGUCAAGUAGAUCGAGUGGCAUUGAACCUAGAGUUGUGAACCUAGGAUGGACAUGUGUGGCAUUUAACCUAGUGUUAAUAAACAUAGGUUGGACAAGAGUGGCAUUGAACCUAGUGUUAUUGAACAUAGGUUGGACAUGUGUGGCAUUUAACCUAGUGUUAAUAAACAUAGGUUGGACAAGAGUGGCAUUGAACCUAGUGUUAAAGAACAUAGGUUGAGAAUUGAAUCUAGAAUCAUGUAAACCUAGGUUACGAUAAAAGCAUUAAAUCUAGGUUCAAAUGGACCUAGGAUGGAAAGGACAUUGGACCUAGAUAGGUCGACACUAUAGGGUUAACACCAACCCUUGAGCUAUGUGAAAUGGAUUCCGAAAUCCCAUAACUUAUGGAUCACACCGAGAGGGGUGUGAGGUGUGUGUGACGAUUUCGCCGCCCAGGGCUAAACCAUUGACGAGGCGUGUGCGACGAUUUCGCUGCCGAAUGGUUAAGCUGGUUUGUGGAUUAUACUGCCGGUUGACUUGAGCCAUGGUUGGGCGUGUGCGACGAUUUCGCCGCCGUGUGGCUAAGUCAUGGAGCGCGGUAGGUUGUGGUUGGCUGAGGUGCAUGUGAGAUUUCCUUCACCUCGAGCCGGACAGAGCGCGGAUUAUCCGCAUUUGAUUGACUCAAGACCGAGUCAAGUGGCAUAGUGUGACUAAGGUAAGAGUAACCUUAGGAAAGAAUAGCUAAGAAUAAAGAAUGGCUAAGAAUAAAGAGUGGCUAAUAAGAAAGAAUUGCAAGUAGUAAAGAUUGGCUAACAAUAAAGAAUGGCAAAUGAUAGAGAGUAAAAUCAUUUAAUCUAUUUGCAUAGUUGCAUGAAUUUCAUAUUGCAUAUUGAGAGGCACAGUCAUGUGUUUUAAUAUUGCAUAAAAUACUUGUGGAUAUCUGUUGGACUAACAUGAUUGCAAUGCCUCCUUGGACCUAGUGGGUUGAGCUUUUCCCUUGGGUGGCUGUAUCCACCGGAAAUUAUGGACAAUAGUUCUCACCCCCGUGUUGUUUUUGGGGGUACAGGUUUACACGCGAGCGGCACGGCGGCGCGAGGAAAUGGCGUAGCUCCGUAGGUAGCGCCCUACCCCAGAGACUAGAGAUAGAAGUACCCCGAGUCGGCAUAGCUAGGGGUAUAAGAAUUGAAAGGAUCAAAAUGUAUCAAACUUGUAAAUAAGUAAAAGUUGUAAUAACUUGGAUUGCAUGUUUGGAAGUUAAAUGUAAUAUGUAAUUGAGAUGUAAAAGCUUGUAUGUGAAUGCUUGUAAUAGUUUAGCUGUUUAUAUUUUUGAUACUUUCUUAUGCAAUCUGUAUGUUCCUGGUUGGAACCUUUGAGUACUGUUCCUGGUUGGAACCUUUGUAUUGUAUUGAUUGCGACGCCUAGGACAUACAGAGGAAACUCUGUCCGUUCGGCGGUCUGUCGGCGUACCCGAACACAACCAAAUAGGCGGGGCACAGGGCGUGACAACUACAUACCAAAAAACUUCAGUAAGUAAAACUCUCUUACCUUUCCCUGGGAUCGAGAACAACAAGAUAUCGCCGCUACUAAAUCGCUGCUACAUUAGAGUAAAAGAUCUUUUAUUUUAAAAGCAAAACAUAAACAAAUUAAUCACUUCUUCCUCCUUAGUAGGAAAAAAAAAUAAAAAAAAUAGAGAUCUCUACGUUAAAUCACACACAAACCUAACACAAACUCUCGACAUCUAAUCUAACUUUCUCUCUACGGGGUUUAAUAUGCACUUUACUAAAUCAAUUAAUCCUACAAACACCAGUCAAAGCUCUAAAUCCUCAGAUACGAUUUUUACCCCAAAUUCUGGACCAAAAAACAAAUUCUAACCGUAGGAAAUAAAAAUUUCUCCAAAUCACUCGAAUAAAUCAGACAUUCGAGUCAUUUAUUUGGGAUUUAAUCGACUAAAAUCGCCAAAAGGAGCAAAUGCAUACGAUUUCCCGCCUAGAGGAGAUGGGGGGGACUUGUCACUUCUACUACCCCCUGACUCCUCACAACCCCCUAAAAAGCAAACGUGCUAAGCUAUUAUCAGUUUAUCUCUAUCAUCUAAAGAUACAAUCAAAGAUCAUAGGUUUUAAAGAGAAUAGAUAGUAUUAAAGUUUGCUGUUGACAAUUCAAACAGUCCCAAGGAGCUUGUACAAAGUUCUAUUGCUUAUCUCAAUGGAAAAAGAUAGCAUAGCAUUAAAUGGAUAUUAGUUUAAAUGCAACACUUCAGACGAUGUACUAACCCAAAACUUAGAAAUUUCAGUAGGCAAAAUUUAGAAUACUAACCUUCAACUCUUGCGAUCAAUCACAAAGUCUGCAUUUGGGCCAUAAAGCUGAAAGUCAAAACAGAAUCAGCAGCACUGUUUUCUCUCACGGAUACUUUUGGCACUGAAGAAAUGAAGACCAAAUAGUUACACAUGAUGCAAUUACAGUGAUCUACGUUCUGAUUUUUCAUCUAGCAUUGGAAAAGCUAUAUAAAAGUUGAAAUAGAGAUUGAUUCAAAUUAAAAAAAAAAAAUCUGACACCCCUACGCUUUUCUGAGGAAAUCCAAAACGGUAACAUGAAGAGCCCAUUUUAUUCCUACCGCCAGUUAUACUUGAUCUCUUUUUUAGUGCAAUAGUAGAGUACUUUCUACUUAACAGAUUUUUACAAGCAAGCAAACUAAUUUGGCAGAAAUUAGUUGGAUUUGAUUGCUUUUGACAUCUAAAUAGCAAGCAUAAUUUCUCAGAAACUCAAUAGCAGAGUGAAAAAACCAGCUAUAUUACUUGAUUAAAGAACACAAAAUCAAAAUUUUACUCCAAAAUUAUGUUUUCUUUCUACAAGUGCCGCCAAGUACACACUCCAAAGGAACUUGAACAGAGGCCUUUUGUACCAUUUCUCAUCUAUGGUAACAUCUCAACUUGUUUGGUGCCUCCAUUACUUUCCAAAUAACUCAAAAAAGACUAUAGCUUGACUCAAACUGGUGUUACCCUCCUAGAGAGCCAAAUUGUGAAGCUCGUAAGCACAAGGCAAGUCGUGUACGGGUGGCCCUUCUUGUUUCUUUCCAUUAUUUUUCUUGCCAAAGAAACCUGCUUGCCCACAGCAAACACAUAGGCCUUGCCUAUGCCUCCGGCACCUCGAGCCGUCCACCCGACAUGGCGGAUGCACUCGCUCAGAUCACGAGGCAAGUCGAAGAGCACCACAUGGUUCACGUUCGCAAAAUCUAUGCCUCGCGAGGCUCUGCCAGAUGUAUGUAGUCCAAUCCCAGUUAACAGAAGCAACCAAGAUAUCACAAAAAUAACAAAUGCUCUAUAAAAUUAGAUGGAAAGAAGAAAUGUGUGCAGUAAGAAAAAAAUACGUUACAGAAAGAUUUACUAUGUAUAUAGUGUAAACUGCCGGCCAUAAAAAACAUGAAACACACACACAGAAAAUAAAUAAAGAUCAAGAUAACUAGUAUAUUCCUUGACGUGAUACCUGUUUGUGCAGAUGAGGAACAUUGAAUCUACCAAUUGUGAGUUAAGAAACUCCUUAAUGUUAGCAAGGUGCAUUUCCUGUGCCAGUGCAACAUGGAAAGGCAGAAUUUUGAUGUGUGACCCUUUUCUAUCAAAUCUGUUCAACACAUUCUCAACCUUUCUGCAGGUCUCAAUCUACACAUACAACAAACAACUGUCAUUACACAACCUAUAAAGCAGGGACAUAAAAUAGGAAGCUUUUACAACCCUUUUCUUCCAUCGCGCAAUACACACCGCCGAGCCCAGUGGGAACCACCACAAAUCAUGCAUCCUGGGGAGGACCGGGUAGAGGACGACUUCGAGUGGCGCCUAGAACUUGAUUGUCCGCCCGAACCCCUCGACAGUGGCCUCACCUCUACCCGCUCACGUUCAGAAGACUCGUGCUCCUCACGCACGAAAGCCUCGCCGUGCUCUGCCGGCAACGCUCGAUCCAACACCUCCGCGAAGGUUGUGAGCUUGAAGAUUUGCACCUUCUUAUAAAUCUCUGGUCGAAGUCCAUGCAGGAACCAAUCGGCCAUAUCCUUGUCAUCCCGUACCACAUCCAGGACACAAUUCACGAUGUGGGAAAACUCCCAUUCGUAUUCCCUAACAGAGCGGUCUCUUUGCCGUAGCUUCCUGAACCUAUCCUGAAGCUUUCUCUUUUCACUAUCGGGGAAGUAAGUUGAAAACACCAAUCCUCGAAACUCAUCCCAUGCCAUAGGAGGGAGACUAGGCGAUCGAUUCCGUCGAAUGCCUUUCCACCACACCUUUGUCGACAACUUCAAACAGUGCACGGCUAUGGGCACCUUGUCCCGCUCUAAGGUGCACAGCUCCUCGAAGAGCGUUUCUAUAGAGUCAAUCCACAUCUCCAAGAUCCACGGAUCGACAUUCUCUCCAUCGAAGAUAGGCAGAUCAAAUUUCUUGAAAGCCAUGAGAGCCGCCAAAGCUCGUUCCCUCUCCGCCUCCACCUCUACGAUGUCGGGAGUGGGAUUGCCCGACCCUGACGAAAACAUCUCCGCCGUGACUCCCGGCCGUCCUUGACGAGCUGCAGCUGGUGCUGCCACCAGCUGAUCCACCGUCUCUUGGAGUCUUUUCAUCCGCUCCUCCUGGCGCAUAGCAGCCUCCUGCUGCCGCUGCACCACAUCAGCCUGUUACCUCACCACUCCAAUGUGAGUGGCCAACUGAUCACGAAGCUCCGAGUCUCCGCUUGCGUCGGUUUGCUCGGGGACACCACUUGUCCCCUCCCGCGCUGAUCUAGAUGAAGAUCGCCUACGCGGUGCCAUCAUUUCCUGAAACAAGACAACUCGAUUAAUUCUCAACCUUCUAGGUCGAGCACGAAACAAUUUAACAUUGACUCAAAUCGGGCGAAAGUCAUGCAAGGGCGUAUAUUCUCAUCACUCGAUUUCAUGUUGUUGCACGCCCAACAUGAACACCCUUGGGUUGAGAAUAAACCACACCUCGAGUCUACCUCUAAUAUCCGUCUUAGAGGUUUACAACACAACCCAAUCAAUUAACCUUUCGCCAUAAGUCGCAAGUCCUCGUCUCUUACGAGUCUUAUUCUCCUAUGGUUUUCUAUUCUAGGGUCUUCUAGGUCUGCCUAAACCAUUCCCAUUCUCUACUUUAUGCUCUGAUACCACCUUCUGUCACGCCCCGAGCCCCACGCCUAUUUGGCCGGGUUCGCACCGCCGACAGCACCGAACGGACAAGGUUUUUCCUGUACCACGGACAGAGUCUCCCCUGACCGUUCAAGGCUCAACAAACAGUACAAUACAAAAAGUUCCAAACAGGAACAUUAUUCGUACAAUGAUUGCAUAAGGAAGGUAUCAAACAACAUAACACAUCCUAUGUUAUUACAAGCAUUCCCAUUAGAUUCAUUUUUACAUCACACUCACAUAAUACAUUUUAUGACUUCCAAAUACAAUCAAGUUACUACAUCAUUUGUUUACAAGUUUUAGUACAUCUUGUUUUUUUCAUUUCCCUCUACCCCUAGGCUAUGCCGACUCGGGGUACCGCUAUCUCUGGUCUCUAGGGCAGGGCGCUAUCUAUGGAGCUACCCCCUUGCCUCGCGCCGCCGCGCCGCUCACGUGCGAACCUGUAACACCCCAAAACAACGUGGGGUGAGAACUAACUCCAUAGUUUCAAGUGGGUACGGCCACCCAAGGGAGAAGCUCGACCAAUAGGUCCAAGGAGGCACUGCAAUCAUGUUAGUCCAGAAACAUCUACAGAUAUAUAUAUAUAUCAUCAUGUAAUAUGCAACUAACAGAUAUCAUGCCUCGCAAUAUGCAAUAUGAAUAUAUGCAAUCAACUAGUAGAUCUAUUGAUUCUACGUUCAACUUUGCUAUCUUUAGCUCAUAUCAUUCAAUUCUAAGGUUUCUACUAUCUUAGGUUCUCAACUCAAGUCCAACUUUCUUCUAAGGUCUCUAUUACCUCAGCUCUUGCCUCUAUCACUAGCUUUCAAGGUUUCUACUACCUCUAUCAAGCUAGCCACCCGACUCGGCCUCGAGUCAAUCAUCCACGGAUAGUUCGCGCACUGGCUGCACCUCAGCCUGGCUGCCGUCACAGCCUACCGCACCUCUGACUUAGCCAUCUUGCGGUGAACUCAUCGCAUCUCACCCAACAACGACUCAAGUCAUGACUUAGCCAUCUGGCAUCGAACUUAUCUCAUCUCACCCAACAAUGGUUCAAGUCAUGUCUUAGUCAUCUGGCGGCGAACUCAUCGCCCUUACCCAGCAAUGGUUCAAGUCAAUCUAGGCGGCAUCAUUCAAUAAGCUAAAUGGGCGAGGAGAACCACACAUACCCAUUUCAAUCUUAUUCUCAUGGCAUCCCGGGCGAGGAGAACCACACAUACCCGUUGAAUCACUGCCAGGUGAGGAGAACUACACAUACCUGCAGUUAUGAUUCGCUUGCCAUGUAGCACACUGGACCGUUGCAAAUUGCGAGGUUCGAGUGUUUGAUUUGUAUUCCAAGCUUUUCCACACUUGGUGGAGGGCCGUCGAUGGUACACCGGCCUAAAAGUUCGAUCUCGAGAGUUCUGGCAGAGUCCUGAGAAUUUUUACUCUCGGGGACCGGUCCCUGAUAGGAGAGACCGGUCCCCCAGUGAACAGUGCUGCGCAGCCGGCCAGGUAACCGGUCCCUGGCAGUCGAGACCGGUCCCCGAGCGCGUCUUCGCGGGGAGAGACCGGUCCCGUGCANCUACGAACGUGUCUCACGUCUCGUCUCUACUCUCACCGCCUGCGAUACCUGAAAAAUGGUGGGGGAGGUGAGAACAUGUAAACAUGUCUCCCCUCCCAGUGGGUACCGCAAGCCGACGAAGGCGAGAAGUACUCACCGGAUCAGGAAGAGAUAAGCAACAAUAUGGUAAACAAAUAUACAUGCCGAUACGAAGAAACUACAGUAGCUAUAACAGAUAAAUGAGCAAUAAACAAAACUGCUACUGUAAGGAAUGCAAUGCUGAGUAUGCCUCAAGGUAACCAAACCAAAACUGUACCCAAUCUGGUGCCUACUAUAUUGGUCUGCAGACCUCAAGCGCUGCCUAUCACUGAUCUUUACCGACCUGAUUCACCCGCCCCACAGGACGACCCAUCCGGAUAAGCACACCUCCGGUCGGUGGCCAAACUGACCCGGUGUCGUGAAUACCCCCAAGUGUUGUGACUAAGUCAUGCUGGUACGCUCAAUACAAAAACCGGCUGAAGCCGGUGCCUAAGCAGAAGCCAGAAACAAGGGCGUACAACGCCGAAUCUCGAUCAACCAGAUCGAAACACAUGACGAGAGAGUCGAUGUGUUGCCUGGACCCAAAGUCCACAGAGUCCAACCGACCAGCAAGGUCACUGAUACGAAGUACGAGAACCGACCAACCAGGUCAACAGAUACGGAAUGCAACAACCGACCAACCAUGUCAACAGAUACGAAAUGCAACAACCGACCAACCAGGUCAACAGAUACGCAUAUAGAUAGAACAACUCUACUCCUACUCAGGAUACUAAGCUUGCAAACAACGAGCAGAGUAUAAUGGAAUAACAUGGGUGCAAGGCUCAAUAUAUACUAUGCAAUAGUAACAACAGAAGAGUAAGGGUAAGAAACCAUCACCAAGCGUGCACCACUGUACCGACUUUGGAUCGAAGUACCCACCUAUACUAGUGUCGCACCUGUCUCCCAACCGUACGCGAUCAUCAACCGAACCUACGAAGGUCCACCAGGUCAGUAACCAACCCACUAACCCAAAGUACGAGACUCGCAAACCCCCACACAAGUCUCCGAAUCGGUUUCCCAAAACUGAUCACCGUAACUCACCAGAGGUCCCGAAAACCACACGGAGACGCCGUUGGGACCCACUAAGUGACCCGAAACUCACCGACUCGUGUCACGAGUCACCCGCUGCCACAAAACACUCUGAUUUGGAUGUCUUGGCAGCAAACAAAAGAUAACAUAACCAAACAAUUGUCGUCGGAUAAUUGUUCGAAUCCGGGUUCCAGGAAGUGUCUAUUUUGACACUGGAACCCACUGUCGCUCACCCGUCAUAAUUGAACCCACAAAAUGAUGAUGGUGACCAGCCAACAAGGCUCAUCGACAAAUCAUAGGACAACCAAACCACGUCGGAAGAAAUCCGAAUCGAAUCCGCGUUCUUUCGGCGAAUUUCGCCAAAAAACGCACCGAAAUCGACUCAUCGAUUUCCGCGAAGGCUAUCGGAUCAUGGACAAUCAGUCCAUAGGUCACCAAACACACAUACACACUACCCACAGUAGCCACAAGGUGCACAAAUGCAUAAAAGCCCCUCAAUUUACAUAAAAUCCUAUCAUUUUAUGUAAAUCGGGCGAUUAAGUGGCUCGUUCACGCAAACCGAGAACUUCUAAGUUCUGCCGAGACACGUACUGCUUGGUCUCGACGUACCGGAGGCCGUGCUCAUGAUUCGGAGCACAACAGCUCACUGUGGGAAGCGCGGGAGCAACCCGAAGGUUUAGCGAACAGCGCGCAGUCGGGGAAAAACGCGCCGAACAGAACUAACUGGACUUCGUUGAUCCAAAGUGAUGUGAGCACUGUGAUCGAAACUGACCAACAAUCACCAUGCUCACCUCCGAAGGCAUCGGAACAGCCUCGGAUCGCCGGAACAACGUGCGCAAACACCAAACAGUAGCCAAACAGGCUCAAACGGAGCAACACCGCCGAAACAGCCAAACGGAGUCUCCCCGACAAAAUCUAAGGUGAGCACGAUGAUCCAAAAUUUUCCAUGAUCAUCGUGCUCCCUUCCGGAGAGAUCGGGGAGCCUCGGAUAGCUCAUAACAGUAAACCUACCAAGAAAAACCCUAUUUCGGGCUUGGCCGGAGCAGGCUUGCUCCGGCCGGCUUCCGGCGGCACGGGAAGGUGCGCGCGGGCCAGAAGUGGGUGCGGGGGAGGGAAGGAGCAAGGUGCUCACCACAGAUGGUAGCGAGGAGUGGCGGCGGCGACGGUGGAGCAAGCCAAGCCCCGCACGAGUUGAGCUCGGGUACCACGGCUGCUGCGACCACUGCGGCGGCUGGGGCAAGUCGGGGAUGACGGUGGGGGGUGCCCAGUGGCCGGAGGAGUGCCUCGGGUGCGGCCCCGAGCGGCGGCGUCGCGAGGAGGGAGCCGCGAUCAAACCUCGGCCUGGCUCGGCCUGGUAGGCUGCAACGAGCACGGGCGGCGGCGGCGGCCACUAGCAACGCCGGUGGCAGCGCGCGUGGGUCUCCGGGGCUCCAGGGGAGGUGGCCGGGAUGGUCCAGCCGGCGGCAGCGUGGGGAAGAAGCCGCAGUCUUGCCUCUGCUUGGGCUCUGCCUGGGGGGCUGCGGUCGGCAGGGGAACAGAGGUGAAGGUGGCAGGGUGCGGCUAGGGUAGUUGGGGGCUCAAUUGAUCCCAAGAAAAACCCUAGAAAACAUUAUAUAUAGGCNUUUAUGGUUCAUGGGAUUUGGUCCAUGAGGUUUGGUUUUGGUUCAUGGCAUUUGGUCAAUGAGGUUUGGUUUUGGUUCAUGGGAUUUGGUCCAUGAGGUUUGGUUUUGUCUCAUAGGAUUUGAUCCAUGAGGUUUGGUUUUGGUUCAUGGCAUUUGGUCCAUGAGGUUUGGUUUGGUAUGGUUUGGAUUUGAUUCUUGUUUGUGUCCUUCAUGUGGACUUAGUUUGGGUUAGGUUUGGGUUUGAUUUGUGGACUUGGUUUGGUUUGGAUUUGGGUUUAUUUGGGUUCAAGUUUGGGUUUAUUUGUGGGUUUAUUUGUGGGCUUUGUUUGGUUUGGAUUUGGGUUUAUUUGGAUUCAACUUUGGGUUUAUUUGUGGAUUUAUUUGGGGACUUGGUUUGGUUUGGAUUUGGGUUUAUUUGGGUUCAAGUUUGGGUUUAUUUGUGGGUUUAUUUGUGGACUAGGUUUGGUUUGGAUUUGGGUUUAUUUGGGUUCAAGUUUGGGUUUAUUUGUAGGUUUAUUUGUGGACUUGGUUUGGUU
RNAcentral lists this long non-coding RNA (15949 nucleotides) under Ananas comosus (pineapple). Its description in RNAcentral is "long non-coding RNA (ACOM_LNC032640)". The record is from RNAcentral. Lineage: Eukaryota; Viridiplantae; Streptophyta; Magnoliopsida; Poales; Bromeliaceae.